AAAAAAUAUAAAUUCCUUUAUUAAUAAAAUCAUGCCAAUAGUAAAUUGGGUAGCAAGUUAUUUACAGCAAUAAACCAAUUGUAGUGGCCUGGGAUCUUUCUUUCAGCACAGAAAAAUGCGACUGGCAAAGCUCAAAGGAUCCGUCUGAGCAAUGAAGAAAGGUUAUUUGGUUUCAAAAUCUUGAAACUUGGGUCCUGGCUCUACUGAAAUCAUUGAAGUCUGCGUCUCACUUAGACAGGUUUGUGUUUCCUAGUCCUGCAGGCGGGGUGAGGAUGGUCUCUGCUCACAAAGAGGUGCUGGUGACUGGAUGGAAUGAAUCACUGCAAUUCAACCCCUACCCACUGAAAUACAGCAGCACACGCUGAAGUGUAAGUACAUGAGUAAAACUGAGCACAGGGGCUUCAAGUUCUGCUGCUAAAUGGGGUAUCAUCUUACCUGGUUUUUGGGGGUGAAAAAAAAA
This 460-nucleotide long non-coding RNA is filed under the name Calidris pugnax (ruff). RNAcentral's name for it is "lncRNA (ENSCPUG00000012384.1)". The record is from RNAcentral. Lineage: Eukaryota; Metazoa; Chordata; Aves; Charadriiformes; Scolopacidae.